UACGAAGGGGGCUAGCGUUGUUCGGAAUUACUGGGCGUAAAGCGCGCGCAGGCGGCUAUCCAAGUCAGUGGUGAAAGCCCGGAGCUCAACUCCGGAACUGCCAUUGAAACUGUUUAGCUUGAGGAUGAGAGAGGUGAGUGGAAUUCCCAGUGUAGAGGUGAAAUUCGUAGAUAUUGGGAAGAACACCGGUGGCGAAGGCGGCUCACUGGCUCGUAACUGACGCUCAGGCGCGACAGCGUGGGGAUCAAACAGG
This 253-nucleotide ribosomal RNA is filed under the name uncultured bacterium. RNAcentral's name for it is "partial 16S ribosomal RNA". It matches the Rfam family "Bacterial small subunit ribosomal RNA", at positions 524 to 776 of the family's 1533-position model. The record is from RNAcentral.